UACGGAGGGGGCUAGCGUUGUUCGGAAUUACUGGGCGUAAAGCGCACGUAGGCGGCUUUGUAAGUUAGAGGUGAAAGCCCGGGGCUCAACUCCGGAAUUGCCUUUAAGACUGCAUCGCUAGAAUUGUGGAGAGGUAAGUGGAAUUCCGAGUGUAGAGGUGAAAUUCGUAGAUAUUCGGAAGAACACCAGUGGCGAAGGCGGCUCUCUGGAACGCAACUGACGCUGAGACGCGAAAGCGUGGGGAGCAAACAGG
RNAcentral lists this ribosomal RNA (253 nucleotides) under uncultured bacterium. RNAcentral describes it as "partial 16S ribosomal RNA". It matches the Rfam family "Bacterial small subunit ribosomal RNA", at positions 524 to 776 of the family's 1533-position model. The record is from RNAcentral.